This 118-nucleotide ribosomal RNA is filed under the name Elusimicrobia bacterium HGW-Elusimicrobia-1. Lineage: Bacteria; Pseudomonadati; Elusimicrobiota. The record is from RNAcentral.
CCCGGUGUCUACUGCGAUGGGGCAACACCCGUUCCCAUUCCGAACACGGAAGUUAAGCCCAUCAGCGCCGAUGGUAGUUGUCUCCUAGAGGGACGGCAAGAGUAGGUCGGCGCCGGGA